RNAcentral lists this ribosomal RNA (510 nucleotides) under uncultured bacterium. RNAcentral describes it as "partial 16S ribosomal RNA". It matches the Rfam family "Bacterial small subunit ribosomal RNA", at positions 28 to 507 of the family's 1533-position model. The record is from RNAcentral.
GACGAACGCUGGCGGCGUGCUUAACACAUGCAAGUCGAACGAAGAGCGAUGGAAGCUUGCUUCUAUCAAUCUUAGUGGCGAACGGGUGAGUAACGCGUAAUCAACCUGCCCUUCAGAGGGGGACAACAGUUGGAAACGACUGCUAAUACCGCAUACGAUCUAACCUCGGCAUCGAGGAAAGAUGAAAGGUGGCCUCUAUGUAUAAGCUAUCACUGAAGGAGGGGAUUGCGUCUGAUUAGCUAGUUGGAGGGGUAACGGCCCACCAAGGCGAUGAUCAGUAGCCGGUCGGAGAGGAUGAACGGCCACAUUGGGACUGAGACACGGCCCAGACUCCUACGGGAGGCAGCAGUGGGGAAUCUUCCGCAAUGGACGAAAGUCUGACGGAGCAACGCCGCGUGAGUGAUGACGGCCUUCGGGUUGUAAAGCUCUGUUAAUCGGGACGAAAGGCCUUCUUGCGAAUAGGGAGAAGGAUUGACGGUACCGGAAUAGAAAGCCACGGCUAACUACGUG